This 274-nucleotide ribosomal RNA is filed under the name uncultured bacterium. Its description in RNAcentral is "partial 16S ribosomal RNA". It matches the Rfam family "Bacterial small subunit ribosomal RNA", at positions 523 to 796 of the family's 1533-position model. The record is from RNAcentral.
AUACGGAGGGUGCAAGCGUUAAUCGGAAUUACUGGGCGUAAAGCGCGCGUAGGCGGUUAUUUAAGUCAGAUGUGAAAUCCCUGGGCUCAACCUAGGAACUGCAUCUGAUACUGGGUAACUAGAGUUUUGGAGAGGUAAGUGGAAUUUCCGGUGUAGCGGUGAAAUGCAUAGAGAUCGGAAGGAACACCAGUGGCGAAGGCGACUUACUGGCCAAAAACUGACGCUGAGGUGCGAAAGCGUGGGUAGCAAACAGGAUUAGAUACCCUAGUAGUCC